UGGGGAAUAUUGCACAAUGGGCGAAAGCCUGAUGCAGCAACGCCGCGUGGAGGAUGACGCAUUUCGGUGUGUAAACUCCUUUUAUAUCCCAAGAUAAUGACGGUAGGAUAUGAAUAAGCACCGGCUAACUCCGUGCCAGCAGCCGCGGUAAUACGGAGGGUGCAAGCGUUACUCGGAAUCACUGGGCGUAAAGGAUGCGUAGGCGGAUGAUCAAGUCAAAAGUGA
Molecule: ribosomal RNA, 225 nt
Filed under: uncultured Sulfurospirillum sp.
Lineage: Bacteria; Pseudomonadati; Campylobacterota; Epsilonproteobacteria; Campylobacterales; Sulfurospirillaceae
Description: partial 16S ribosomal RNA
Rfam family: Bacterial small subunit ribosomal RNA
Source: RNAcentral